RNAcentral lists this ribosomal RNA (505 nucleotides) under uncultured bacterium. RNAcentral describes it as "bacterial SSU rRNA". It matches the Rfam family "Bacterial small subunit ribosomal RNA", at positions 501 to 1004 of the family's 1533-position model. The record is from RNAcentral.
CUACGUGCCAGCAGCCGCGGUAAUACGUAGGUGGCAAGCGUUGUCCGGAAUUAUUGGGCGUAAAGCGCGCGCAGGCGGAUCAGUCAGUCUGUCUUAAAAGUUCGGGGCUUAACCCCGUGAUGGGAUGGAAACUGCUGAUCUAGAGUAUCGGAGAGGAAAGUGGAAUUCCUAGUGUAGCGGUGAAAUGCGUAGAUAUUAGGAAGAACACCAGUGGCGAAGGCGACUUUCUGGACGAAAACUGACGCUGAGGCGCGAAAGCCAGGGGAGCGAACGGGAUUAGAUACCCCGGUAGUCCUGGCCGUAAACGAUGGGUACUAGGUGUAGGAGGUAUCGACCCCUUCUGUGCCGGAGUUAACGCAAUAAGUACCCCGCCUGGGGAGUACGACCGCAAGGUUGAAACUCAAAGGAAUUGACGGGGGCCCGCACAAGCGGUGGAGUAUGUGGUUUAAUUCGAAGCAACGCGAAGAACCUUACCAGGUCUUGACAUCCCUCUGACCGCUCUAGA